GAGAUUUCCACGGUGGGUGAUUUCUCGUUGACUUGAUGGCUGAGAUGAAGCUUUGAGGAUCUCGCACCCGUGGAUUAAAAUCUUCUGCUACCUGCGCCUUUGAACUUGAAGACAAAAGGGAUAUUUGGCUACGAUUUGAAGUGAGGUUGUUAGAUUCAGUGGUUGACUCAAUAGUGAAGAUAUUAACUCUUCUUGGUGAGAGAAUUAAUGAGCUUGGAUCAUUGUAGCUGUACGGUGUUGCUGGUGUUGUUCUCAUGGAAUUUUCGCCUGGCUUCUGGGAGCUCGAAGGAGACGGAAGAAAAUGCUGUAAUUCCGGUUUGUUGGCAGAGGCUUUCUCAAAAUGACCACCGGUUGAAGAUUAAGAUCGUGCCAUGAAUUUGCUUUCGUUUGAAGGAUGAGAGAGUCCAUAUUCAUCUGGAAUUGAAGCUGUAACUGAAGUGGUUGAUAGUUGGAAUGAUGUUGAGAAGGGUUCGAUCAAAACUAUGAAUGCAAAUGUUUAGAAACCCUUUCUGUGUAUUAGAUAAUUACGUGAAAACUGAGCAACAGUAAGUGCAGGAUUUGUCUCCCGCUUCCUAGAUAGAGAAGCUCUGAUUUCUCUCUACCCGGUUUGAAAGUUAGUAAGAAAGAAAACUACUCAACAAGUCUGUUUACAUAAGUUUGACCAAAACUCUAAUCCGGCUUUGUUCAUUAACUUAAUUUACCAAACAACCUGACAUUAAUUUAUACAUAUAAGAAAAAGACUUACCAUUUAUCUCUCU
Juglans microcarpa x Juglans regia is the source of this 758-nucleotide long non-coding RNA. RefSeq lists it as uncharacterized. NCBI's taxonomy places the organism in Eukaryota, Viridiplantae, Streptophyta, Magnoliopsida, Fagales, Juglandaceae. The record is from RefSeq and is a predicted model, not a curated record. The transcript has 2 exons.